AUAAAAAAGUAACUGUGGACCUUAGGGUGUUUCCCUGGCUCUGGCUGCCAUCUAGUGUUUUGUCAGGCACGGUGAAGCACAGCUUAGUUUGAGACUGCGUGAAUCUUCUCUGAGCCUGAACUCCAUUCGUGUACGCAGAUAGGAUAAAUAGUACAGAUCCACCUCUCCAAGGGACAGCAGAGGAGGAAGAUUUAACACAGCAAGUGAAGGAAGAGCUUCUAUGACAUUAGUUGCCAAGUAUUUAAGGUAGCAUCACUUCCUCUGAGUUAGCUGCCUUACAUGAUUGCAGUCAUGGUUUGACUGAGCUAAGGCCAGACAUACCAAAACGUAAACUUUGAUCUUUCACUGCUUAAAAACAGGGCAGGUUUCUAUUCUUCACUACUGCUGUUGUGCAGUAGUUGCUGUUGCAUUUUGUGCUUCUUUUCCUCUUACUUAAAUGGGAGUACCAAUGGCCUGAUUCCUAACUGAAGAAAUGUUGGUGUAGAAAAAAAAAAUAGUGCAAAAUUCUUGACCACUACUGUGCAAACCAAGUGCAAGUAUGACACACAAUGUGCAGCCUCAACUUAAUGUAGUAGUAGCAUUCAUCGGCAUAAGCAUUAAGCUUCUGGAACAGGAUGGACAUACACCAUCAUUUUUAGCAUCUUACCAGCCUUAAUUGUGGUAGGAAAUGAUUUCUGCUCUACCGUGGGAGACAACCAUCUUCCUCCAACAGGCAUGAGUUUGUAGCUCUUUAAUACAAUGGCACAAUGUUCUUUCAGCAGAGCAUGCUCCUCCAGUUUGUUUGUUCUGGAGGCUGCACAUGGCUUUGAAGUGUGGCAGCUUUUGUUUGCCGUGUUGUUGCAGCAGGCAGACAGCAGACAGCGGGCGCAGAGGACAUUUCCGAAGCUCCUGCUGAUCUGAAGCCACAGAACUGUGCGUGAAGAUUGUGCAAACUGAGGAGUGAUGUGACAGACUGCAUUCACCGUCACUUCUGGUGCAGGACAGGCACUAAGCCAGAAGCUGAAUGGAUUAUGUUGUCCUGGAGAUGUGGCUGGCUCUGGCAGAGGCUCUUGAGGCGUCACAUCACCAACAAUAACCUUCUGAUGCCUGGAGCUUGCACAAACAAUGGAAGCCAUGCCACCUGCCGUAAAUCCAAUGGCAAUGUGCUGCUGGAGAGUUGCGUGUCAGCACUGUAACAGCAGGAUCAGACUUGUGAAGCAAUUACUUCACUCACAGAACCAACACACUCUUUUACAGAAACCAACAUACUCUUUCAAAGAACCAACAUACUGACAAAGGCCCCAUUCCUAUGCAGAACAGAAGAAAUAGCUCAGAAUGUCAAGUCCAAUCUCCUCCAACUGCAGGCACAUAUAUGAUGGACAGUAAGUUCAGAAAAUUGGAAAGAACGUCUUUCAGACUUCAAGAGGUAUAGAGUAUUAUAUACAGACAGAUAUGAAAAAUGUCUGUCCUGUGUUUAUUAGAUAGAAGUGACUGCUUUGAAGACAAAAAGGUGAAUUUAAACAGGCAGUGCUGGCUUCUGGCAGCAGUACAAUCUGUCUCAAUUUGGAAUGCAAAGCCUAUUAAAACAGAAUAAUUCAUUGUUCUAGAAAUGUCUGUUUCACAAAUGAACACUUCAGUCAGGGCCACCUACUCAUUUAUCCUGUUUUUUAUCCUUUUAUCUACUAAUAGUUCUUUCAAUAUCUGCUAGGCUGAACCAUUUGUUUAAGAAAUUUCAAGGGUAACCUAUAAGAAUGAUUCUGAAUGGGACCGGGACAACCCCUUCUUCAGGUUUAUUUCUUCUUGACACUCAUGCAUAGACAAGUACAACUGGUAUAUCCAUCAGUUGACUGCCCUUUAUGAGUCCAAGCCAGACAGUAUCAAACAAGCAAGUCUUAUUUUUUAAGAUUUUUGCCUUCCCUAGAAAAAUAUGGAUCUAGCCUGCUCCCAGUUGUGUUCAUAAAACUGAGAAUGAAUUUCAAUCUGUGAAUUUUCCCAAGAACUUAAGUGCUCUCCACACACAAAAAUCUGUAACACUCAGGAAUAUUACAAAGGGGCAAGGGAAGCAGGACAUGAAUUUUCCUAAAUUGUAAACAACCACAGCUUUUGAAACAGGUAGCACAGACAUCCUAUUACAGACACACGCUAACAACUCAUCUGCUAACAGUGCCCUGGUACCUUCCUCCAGUUCUAAGGAGGAUGAGACAGUCUCCCAGAGCUCACUGGAACAUAAUUCACAAAACUGCUCAUUCUACUGUUGCACCCCUAAGAUGGGACAUGCCUCCUGGAAUUUCUGUGCAAUACUCAAGAGAUUAUCAGUCAAUCAAGGACACACUAACUAACACUACUUUGCAGUAUGGCCCUCCUGUUUUGAGCCAGUCAGUCUUGAAAAGGUAUACCCGAAGGAAGCAAUUAGCAGCAGAAAACUAAUCGCAACAGAAGAGGUCAGAGAAAAGAUGUAUCCAGUAUAGCCUGAUUCUCCUGAUCACAGAGUAAGAAAGGUCAGGAAGCACUGCUGGGGUCAUGUGGUCCAAACCACGCUCAAAGUAGGCCAAAUUUAAAGCUGGACCUAACUACAAAUCAGGUUGCUUCAAGUCAGAUUCAGUCAAGUUUUGAACAUCCCAAAGAUACCACGUAUUUUCAGAGCAGCUUAUUCAAAAGUCUGACCACCCACACUGCAAAUGUUUUUCCUAGUAUCUAAUUGGAAUUUCACAUAUUACAGCUUGUGCACAUUGCCCUCUGUCCUUUCGUUGGGUGUACCUCCAAGAAACAUUUAUCAAUCUUCACUAUAUAGUGAUGAGAGAGCUAAUGUGCCUAAGAGGCAUUCCAGAAACUUCAUAUUAAAAAAAAAAAUCUGUUAAACUGAAACAAGCUGGGCAACAGAAGACAGUAAAAAAUGAUAGCCAGAAGGAGUCUAGCAAGCAAUUUAAAUAGAGAGAGGUGCUGGAGGAUAACAGGCUUAUUUAUCAGUGUUAAAAUUAUCACCGUUCUACAUGGUUGAAGAAUUAACAUCCACAUAAAAGAAAAUUAAUGAGAGAAAUUAGCAUAUAGUAAUUUCUGCUACACUUGUUAGAGCUUACUGGCUUUGGAAUUAGGAAGCAACUUUUUAAAUUUUCUUGUAAAUACUAAGGGCAGAUUUUUUUAUUAUGCUCCACAAUGUUUGAAAUGAAUCACUCUCCCUCCAGCAUACAUUUAUUUAAAUGGCACUAUCUGUGAUGAGUGGUACAAGCAGGUCUUUGUAUUAUGUCAUCUGCCUAAGUAGAAUUAUCUAAUUUUUCAGGAUGACAAAGUAUAGAAAAGAGAAAUUCAUAAGAGGUCUCGGUAACUGAAUAGCUGUAGUUGUUGUAAAAACAAUUAAAUGUACCUAACAAUAAAAUUAUCAUGUAGAAUGUUUUCAAUAUUAUAAAUUUAACAUAAGAGGCCUAAAUUCGGUGUGCUCCAGCCCAACAGCAUGGUCUAAAGUAAUUUAAAAUAGUUAUUUUAAGAGAAUGCCUAAGUAAAGAUCUAAAGUGAAACUCUAGAUGAAGGAAUUAAGUUGUUUCCAAACCAAACAUAAUCCGCAAAAAAGAUCUAAACACCACAUUCAACUGGCCACUGUAGUGAAAAACACUAAGGAAUCUCUGAAAUACUUCAAGAUUCAGAGAAGUUAAAGGCAUAAGAUAUACAUAAAGCAACUGUCAAGACCCUCUUCCAAUACAAAGGCAGGAACAACUGACUUCAGAUCCCUUCCUACCUCAACCAGAAACAUAAUAAAUGUGGCUUCAAUCUGAGCAGCAGAAAUAAGAACGAAGCUUUGCAGAACGCAGAGCUCAGUUUAGUAUGAGACAAGUUCAAUCUGACUGGUACAGAGCUGUGCAAACUGUAUCCUGUGUGAGUCAGAAGCCUCUCAGUACCCAUCACAAAAAGUAUCUCAUGAAAUGGGUUUGCUGUGUGGCAGGCAAACACGUUUCUGCUAUAAAGGAAUUUGUCCUGAAUGCUCUGAACUCUACAUACGUAUCUUAUAAAAGACAUGAGACUAGUGAGAUUGAUUUUGGAUGCCAGCCUGAGAUCUAUGUAUAAAUGACCAAGGGCUUAGAGAAUUAAAUCCAAAACCAAACUGAGGGAACUAGAUGAAGAACCAGAAAUUUAGAAAGCUUCUCUUUCCUUUGAGAAGUCAAUCACUGAA
This is a long non-coding RNA of Cygnus olor (mute swan), 4141 nucleotides long. RefSeq lists it as uncharacterized. The record is from RefSeq and is a predicted model, not a curated record. Lineage: Eukaryota; Metazoa; Chordata; Aves; Anseriformes; Anatidae. The transcript is spliced from 3 exons.